Non-coding RNA from Pantherophis guttatus, 506 nucleotides. The record is from RefSeq and is a predicted model, not a curated record. Lineage: Eukaryota; Metazoa; Chordata; Lepidosauria; Squamata; Colubridae.
AUGACACAUACUGUAAGUCACAAUAGGUGGCAGCACCUAGCCGAUCCUGGCUGAUCUGACAUAGCACAGCAAGGCUAAACCUGGUUAAUAUUUGGAUGGGAAACCACCAGGAAAUUACAAAGCUAUGUGGCAGACAGGAAAAAAAAAACAUACUGGAAGAAUAGAAAUUGAAAAGACAACAACCAAAGACUUCUCUCAAGGCAUAGCAACAAAGGAAAAUGCAAAACAUAUGAUGGCUCAUGGAUAAACAAGGAAACAAAGGGAGGCUCCAUCAGAAAGAGCCGGCCAGAGACUGCAGAAUGGUAAUGACCUGUUAUUGGGCUUUGCUCCAAUAGCUUUGCAGCUGAUGAAUAUUAGAGGAGGCAUCAGAUAAGCUUACGACAUGAUUUAAUAACUGCAUCAGUUCAGCAGCUAUGUCAGCAGAUGUCCAGCCUAGUAAAUCUACUUAUUGCUUCUAAAAGGUCAGCAGCAGCUGAAUGAGACAGCAAAUGGGGGAAUGUGACAAA